RNAcentral lists this ribosomal RNA (253 nucleotides) under uncultured bacterium. RNAcentral's name for it is "partial 16S ribosomal RNA". It matches the Rfam family "Bacterial small subunit ribosomal RNA", at positions 524 to 776 of the family's 1533-position model. The record is from RNAcentral.
UACGUAGGGUGCGAGCGUUGUCCGGAAUUACUGGGCGUAAAGCGUGCGCAGGCGGUUGUGUAAGACAGAUGUGAAAUCCCCGGGCUCAACCUGGGAACUGCAUUUGUGACUGCACGGCUUGAAUCCGGGAGAGGGAUGCGGAAUUCCAGGUGUAGCGGUGAAAUGCGUAGAUAUCUGGAGGAACACCGGUGGCGAAGGCGGCAUCCUGGACCGGCAUUGACGCUGAGGCGCGAAAGCCAGGGGAGCAAACGGG